UACAGUAUGCAUGGUGUAAAUAAAAAUUUAUUCAUGCAAAAAUAGUAGAAGAACAAUUAAUGUAUAUUAUCAUAUAUAAUUGAAUCUCAAAUCUGUUUAGAAACAUAAAGUACUAUUUUUAUCAAACAAUGGAUCAGAACUUGAGUGCUUAUCUGAUAACAUCUCACUAGAGGUAUAUAAUCCCUUCAUAAUCCCUUCUAUUUCAAAAACAUGAUGGUGCCAACAAAGUUUCAGGGAUCUGCAAAAUCUGAUUACUAAUGCAAAUUUUAAUUUCAGGAAUCUGCCAUAUUAUUUUUCAAAUAUAGCACCAAUAGAGUACCAUUCGAUUUUCAUCCUAAUGUAUAAACUCAAAAGUUAUGCAAUUACAGUACAUAUGUGAUACAAUUACAGGAAAAAAACACUAUAAUUUUGAUAGAAGCAUCAUAUAAGUCAACUUUAACAAUUACAAUACGUUAUUUGCAGGAAAGAAAGAAACAAGGAGGGAAAAAUCAAUAGUUGUAUGAAGACACAUGCAUCAAAUGCAUAAGAACUUGAAUACCAUAGACAACAAAUGCAUGAAUCAAAAUGACAAUUUCAGUUUAUUCCACAUAUUAAAGUUAAAACUAGAGAGCUCUAAUACACUUACUUUCACAUAUCACAGAAAGAUACAAUGCUAUGGGAAAACAAACGUUAACUAUAGGUUAGUAUUUCUCACCAGAUAACCCACAAAACACUGAUGUGUUUACUAAAAAUGUUAAUUAUCAUCAUUUGGGAAAAUAAUUAAAAUGUGCAAGGUUGCUCACUUCAAAACAAAAUUACUGGUCAUUCUUCUACCACGCUGUUUGCCAAAAACAUUGUAAUUCAUAUUUGUGUUUCCAAGAUUAGCUCAUCAAAUCUAUAGUUUUAGUUGAUUGUUCAUUUUUCAUUAUUAAGAAUUUUGUUUGGAUUAUCAUACAUCAAAAUUUCAAAAUACAGGUCGAUUGGAGGAAAUAAACAUUUCAAAGAAUACAGAGUUGCUUCGAAUGGAUAGCAUCUAUUCAAACAAAAAAGGUGAUCACAAUACUUCUACUGUUUAUUAUGUGGGGAAUAAAGUUUACUUAUUUACAUAAUUUACAGUAGUAUUUUGAUAGAAUAACAUAUUUACUACACUGUAAAUUUAAUAUAGACCUGUUGUAAUUGAUACUAUUUUAGAUUAGAACAAGUGUUUUAGCAUUAUACUAGUACUUAUUAGUUUAGAGACUUACCAGAAUUUUGAUCCAAUUUUGGUUGAUCAACUUGCAAAAUAUAAUUAGUCGCAAUAGAAAAAGAAUCAUGAACUAGUUUAAAAUCAAAUACUUAUAGUACUAGAUAUAAAUUGGAUCAUAUAGUUAUAGCACGAUUAAUUUUAGAACUAUUUUAAUUAUUUACAUGCUUUCUUAUUUAAGAAUACAUGUUUACAAGUCAAAUAGUCACAUUCAAACUAGUAUGCAGUUCUUAAAUUUUCCACUAUCUAAAAAAGAAAUAGCAGUAGCAAUUGAAUAAAUUCAAUUCCAAUAUCAAACCAACUGACUCAACUCAUUAUUUACAGGACUCAUAGGAACAAGGAGAAAGAAAGAAAGAAUUGUAUGAAAAUACAAGAAACAAAUUCAGGUAAAUAUUUUAAACUUAAUGUCAGAAUUGUGCUGAACUCAUAUAGAUUAAGAAUUAGUUGUGCAUUUAUUUCCAGGAAUUUUAACUAUAUUAUAGAAUCUUUCCAUUGCAUUGAUAACAGGAAUCAAGGAGAAAGAUGAUCUGGACAGAUCAGGGGACACAAGCAACCAAAUGCAGACAAGCAAUCAAAAUUUCAAUUAGGUGCAUGCUGGAUGCAUUGUAAAAAUAAAACUAGAACUAGCACUCCAAGAAUGUAAAUCAAUCAGUUGUGCAUAUAUGUAUGCUUUCUAUUUUUUUAGACUAGCCCAUUUCUCCAUGUGUCCUUUUCCUCUCAAUCCUGGACAAUCAGCUCAAGAAAAAAAUGCUCAUAGGAAGCAAAGAAGCUCUUGUCCAGAACCAUACAUAAUCAUAUCCCACUAAUUGGUCUUACAUAUAAAUCAAACUAGAAGAAAAUCAUGUUUAGCUACUACUUCUAAUUUGACAUGAGGGACUAAUCAUUUUUAUACAAUUUAUUGUUGCAGCAAAAGUGCAUCACUAUAUAUUUAUAGCAGACUUGGUCAUGAAAAUGUCAGACAAUCUGCAUGAUAAUACUAAAAUGUUGGAAACUCAUUGAUGCAUUUCAAAAUUUUCAAUAACUUGUGCUCUUUACAGAUCUAAUAAAAUUAGUCUAAGGUGGUCACCGAAGAGUAAAAAUACCAAACUAGAUUCCACAUAGCAUAUAUAGCAUCUGCAGACUUUUAGCAUAAGAAGGCCAUGGAUGCUUCAAGAGAUUCAGUCACUGUCAUCAAAAUAACAUGUGUUAAUUCUGAUUCAGAGAAGGUCAAUAGCAUGCUAGCAAGGCUGAACAAUGCAUCGCAAAGGCUUCUCCUCAUCUUCUACUCUAUGUAUCAUGAGGAACUUGUACCACACAGAUCCAAAUCGGAACAUCGCAUAGCACAAAUCCCCGCAGGAAACAACUAAAAUACCCUAAACAAAUGGGAAAAACUCACAGAAGGGGCUCACCGUGACAACUCACACCACACAACUCGAAAUUGAAACAUUGCAUAGCACAAAUCCCCACAAAAAAACUAAAAUACCCUAAAUAAAAGGGAAAAACUCACACAAGGAGAUCACCAUGUCAGAUUUGAAUAAGAAACAAGGGGAUUUACCGAGUUACAUUCGAAAAUCGAACACAUCACAUAUCCAAAUCGAAACAACUAAAACCUUGCAGCACACAAGGAAACAACGACAAGCUCGGAUCGAGGACGACGAGGACACAAAACACACUACACAACGACUAUGAGACUCACCGGAGAAAGGAAGAACGAUAUUGCCAACGAAUCGUCGAUGACUCCCACAAAUCAGCGUCAAAAACCCACCACUACAAAAUACAAAUAGUCGACGCGUCGAUGAACAAAGCAGUAAACAAACGGGAACUAAAUUCACUGGAGAAGAGGAGAAGGAGAUCACCGGCGAAUCGAUGUUGUGUCGCCUUCCACAAUCGCCGCAUCGCGUGGGACGAUGAGAGCAAGAAAUUUUCUCGCCCUGUAUGCUCUCACUCUCUCUCUCUCACAGACACAGUCACUCAGUCUCUCUCUGUCAACAGUGCAAGUGGGUCCCAUGGUAGACCAAAAGUCCAAGCU
Molecule: long non-coding RNA, 3230 nt
Filed under: Oryza sativa (Asian cultivated rice)
Lineage: Eukaryota; Viridiplantae; Streptophyta; Magnoliopsida; Poales; Poaceae
Description: long non-coding RNA (OSAT_LNC000791)
Source: RNAcentral